CAGCACCCCGAGUGGUCGGGACGAUUAUUGGGCCUAAAGCAUCCGUAGCCGGUCCUGCAAGUCCUCCGUUAAAUCCACCCGCUCAACGGUUGGGCCGCGGGGGAUACUACAGGGCUAGGAGGCGGGAGAGGCAAGCGGUACUCGAUGGGUAGGGGUAAAAUCCACUGAUCCAUUGAAGACCACCAGUGGCGAAGGCGGUCUACCAGAACACGUCCGACGGUGAGGGAUGAAAGCUGGGGGAGCAAACCGGAUUAGAGACCCGAGUAGUCC
RNAcentral lists this ribosomal RNA (270 nucleotides) under uncultured archaeon. Its description in RNAcentral is "partial 16S ribosomal RNA". It matches the Rfam family "Archaeal small subunit ribosomal RNA", at positions 477 to 747 of the family's 1478-position model. The record is from RNAcentral.